AGUUCUUAUAAGUAUAUUCUUUUUUUAAUAAGUAUGGCAUAUGAAUAGUACAUUCUACUAGGAAUGUGAUUUAAAGGUAUGUUAUCAGCAUGACCUUAGAAUGUCUUCUUAAAUUAUGGUUUACAAUAAAUUUUAAGUAUCUGCUAUUCACGUUCUAAACAUAUCAAUAUCUGAAUAAAAAUACAGGAGAAUAAAAAUGAUUUCGAAAUGAAAAAAUGAAUACAAUACAUUAUAUUUGUAUAUUUUCUUACUAUCAGUUACUAUUAAGUUUUUGUGUAUUAAAUAAUUAGGGAUUUUAUAUAUUAGUGUAUAUAGAUGCCCUGUAAACAAAUAUUCAAGCAAAAAUACAGUGUUUCUUAUUCUAACAAAUAAAUAAACCUGUAAAACUGUAUAAAUAAAAACGAUCUUCCAUUAUGAAAUAAAAAGAUCGAUUAUACCAAAAGAUAAUUUGAUAAAACUCGAUAGAUUUUAAUCGAUUUUUUGGGUAAAAAGAUCGAUCUUCGACUGAAAUCGAUUCGAAUCGUACAUCCAUAACAUAACCUAAUAAAAAAACCAGUGAACUAUAAACGUAAACGUGCUUCAUCCAAACUAUUUUAAUAAUUAAAACACUGAGAUAACGUAAAGAUAAGUGAUGCAAAUAAUUAUUUUAAGGAUAGAAUCGGUAAAAUAGUUCUUGUUAUGUUUGUGUUUUCAGUAUCUAUUUUAAGGUGAGUGAAUUUAAAACCAUGAGACCUCGAAAAAAAAUAGGUUAUACUAAAAAAUAUUUUAAAAUUCAACCAAAAUAAAAGGAGCCAAAAUCUUAUUAAGUCAAUGUUACGCAAAUAUGACUUCAAUAUUGUACAUUAAACUGGAUUCAGACCAAAGUGAUUUUUUAUUAUCCUCUGUACAUCAUCAAAGUAGUAGUAUCUCUGGUAGUAUCAUUGAAGAUUUCUGUUCUGAUAAGUGUAGUUCCAGUGCUGAAAUUUCUUACAAUAUAGUAUUUAUAUAGGUAUUUAUAAUUAUUAGGUUCGAGAAUUAUCUAGACUUGGUGGUUCAGGAGUAGCACAAAGUACAAGGAAAAUGCUUUAUAAGGUUCUGGGCAAUGAAAUUGCACAAAAAUAUUCUUGGGAUGGGGCCAAACAGAAGAGAAGUUUGAAAUCAUUGUUAGUGGCCAAAAGCAAUUUUAGACUCCAUGAAAGGUCAAUUUCAAGAGUCAAAAGAAACCGAAAUUAUCAAUAUAAUUAAAAUAUGGCUUGUAAAAACAAAAGAAAGAUUAAUAAUCCAAGAAGGGUAGACAAGAGAAUAUAGAAACAUAGACAUAGAAGAUAAUAUCAAUGUAUAUCGUUAUAUUAAAAUAUUUUUAAUUAAUAAACAUAUAUUACUCAAGUUCGUCUUUAUCCUUACCUAUUAUUUUUAACCGUUCUAUUUAUUAGUUAAUUUUUGAUUAUUACACACCAAAUUAUUUAAUUUCAGCAAAUUGUUUGUAGUGUGUUCCAGAUAUGAAUGUACUGUAUAGGUAUCCUAUAGAUUUUAAGAGAUAAAAAAAUUGCUAAAUAUGAAAAAAAUUGUAUCUAUAUCUAUAGUUUAUAGGAUAUUGAUACAGGGCAUCCUUAUACAGGACACCCAGUAGAUACAGAGUUGAGGGUUGGAAUCUUUGGUGUUACAACAGCAAAUUAAAACACUAAUUCACCACAAUAUACCAAAACACUUUACUUUUGAAC
RNAcentral lists this long non-coding RNA (1700 nucleotides) under Sitophilus oryzae (rice weevil). RNAcentral describes it as "uncharacterized LOC115882887". Lineage: Eukaryota; Metazoa; Arthropoda; Insecta; Coleoptera; Curculionidae. The record is from RNAcentral.